This 253-nucleotide ribosomal RNA is filed under the name uncultured bacterium. RNAcentral's name for it is "partial 16S ribosomal RNA". It matches the Rfam family "Bacterial small subunit ribosomal RNA", at positions 524 to 776 of the family's 1533-position model. The record is from RNAcentral.
UACGUAGGGGGCAAGCGUUGUCCGGAAUCAUUGGGCGUAAAGCGCGUGUAGGCGGUUCGGUAAGUCGGCUGUGAAAGUCCAGGGCUCAACCCUGGGAUGCCGGUGGAUACUGUCGGGCUCGAGUCCGGAAGAGGCGAGUGGAAUUCCUGGUGUAGCGGUGAAAUGCGCAGAUAUCAGGAAGAACACCCGUGGCUAAGGCGGCUCUCUAGUACGGUACUGACGCUGAGACGCGAAAGCGUGGGGAGCGAACAGG